UUCUUAUCACGAGAGGUGGAGGGAUUUGGCCCUUUGAAACCUCGGCAGCAGACUCAUUCAUGAGAACUGUGCCAACUCCAACAAGCGUGAUUUCGCUUGAGAGAUAAGAA
RNAcentral lists this non-coding RNA (110 nucleotides) under Bacillus sp. (in: firmicutes). Its description in RNAcentral is "Bacillus sp. SAM-I sequence". It matches the Rfam family "SAM riboswitch aptamer (S box leader)". Rfam says of the family: The SAM riboswitch is found upstream of a number of genes which code for proteins involved in methionine or cysteine biosynthesis in Gram-positive bacteria. The SAM riboswitch acts at the level of transcription termination control. The record is from RNAcentral. Lineage: Bacteria; Bacillati; Bacillota; Bacilli; Caryophanales; Bacillaceae.